CUCCUCUCUCCUCCCUCCUCUGCGAAGGGGACUGGCCUCAUCUUCACUCACUUGGAUCUCAGCCCUGUACUGAAAAUGCUGUGGCCCCAACAGAACUUUCCAUAAUCACCCACUGACUGUGUGGUAUGGACCAAUCACGUGUAAUGCAAAAAUUCCUGUCAUGGGAAACAGACCCAAAGACAAGAAAGCUGAGGCCAGCAGCCCUCGCCGAUGCCCCGCAUCGUGCCCUCCGUGCUCUCGAGCCUCCCCAGCCUGGAAGCGGCCCCAGCGGCCCCCUCACCCAUGGAGGCCUGGGGACGCCGCCCACCCCCCGCCGACCCCGCGUGUCCUGCCGCACAGACCCCACCUGCAC
RNAcentral lists this long non-coding RNA (352 nucleotides) under Vulpes vulpes (red fox). RNAcentral describes it as "lncRNA (ENSVVUG00000018942.1)". The record is from RNAcentral. Lineage: Eukaryota; Metazoa; Chordata; Mammalia; Carnivora; Canidae.